This 1385-nucleotide long non-coding RNA is filed under the name Podarcis muralis (Common wall lizard). RNAcentral's name for it is "lncRNA (ENSPMRG00000004110.1)". Lineage: Eukaryota; Metazoa; Chordata; Lepidosauria; Squamata; Lacertidae. The record is from RNAcentral.
CCUUUGCUCUCAAGGUUAAGGUGGAUGAACAACUGGACAAGCUGAUCGCCCAAGGAGUUUUGGAGCCGGUUGACCACGCCAAGUGGGAAACCCCCAUCAUCACGCCUGUCAAGCCAGACGGGUCGGUGAGAAUCUGCACUGACUACAAGUGCACGAUCAACAAGGCACUUCAGCAGCACGCUUAUCCGGUUCCUGUUGUCCAACACCUGCUGCAUUCUCUGGGUGAGGGUAAGGUCUUCGCUAAGCUGGACCUUGCCCAAGCCUAUCAACAACUGCCCGUCGAUGAUGCCACUGCUGAAGCCCAGACAAUCGUCACCCACCGAGGGGCAUUCCGUUGCCGCCAGUUGCAGUCCGGGGUGAGUGUGGCUCCUGGCAUCUUCCAAAGCCUUAUGGAGCGUCUCCUGCAAGGGCUUCCGGGCGUGGUACCAUAUUUUGAUGACGUCUUGGUGUCCGCAGACUCACACCAGCAGCUGUUUGAGCACCUCCGCACCGUGCUGACCAGGUUCCAGGACCUUUAUGGUAGUGGUGGACGCCUAUUCCAAAUGGCUGGAGGUGGCCCUGAUGCCCUCCACCACUACCGAGGCCGUCAUCCGGGUGCUGCGAGGCCUCUUUGCGAUGCAUGGGUGUCCUGAUGUCCUUGUCUCCAACAACGGACCACAGUUCAUGUCAGGCACUUUUGAGCGGUAUCUUUUGGGACUUGGGCAUCCGCCAUGCCCUAACGGCACCAUUUCACCCAUCCAGCAACGGGCAAGCAGAGAGAAUGGUGUGCUCGGCAAAAGAGGCACUGGCGUGCCUGGACAGGAGAGACUGGCAUGAGCGGGUCGCCAAAUACUUGUUCGUACAACACAUCACCCCUCAUGCGGCCACAGGAUGGAGUCCUGCCGAACUGCUUAUGGGCCACCGCCUCAGGUCCCCGCUCGACCGGCUGCACCCAGACUUUGCCGUGGCCGAACCCCCAGGUCUUUGCCCGGAACUUUGUGGGGGACAUUCCUUGGGUGCCAGCCACAGUAGUGGGAGUCACUGGACCUCGCUCGUACCAGGUGGCACUCGAAGACGGACGCUUGUGGCGUCGGCACAUAGACCAGCUUAGGCACAGGGUUGGGGACUUGGACACUACCGUGGUGCCCCCAACUGCGCUCGUAGCUCCGGAGCAGACACUUACAGAUGGUGAGGCUCCACUACACCUCUCUUGCAAACUGCCGGCGUGGAGCUGAACCAAGCCACUUCAGAGGGUCUGCCAGACUUACCACAGAGUCAGACCACUGCCCGUCCCUGACAUUCCGCCAACUCCACUUGCGGAGCUUCCACCCACAGCAGCGGAUCCAGGGGACUUGGUUUCAACGCCACCUAGGGUCGCACCAAAGCCUCAGCAAGAAUUGGGUGGC